This 5749-nucleotide long non-coding RNA is filed under the name Sus scrofa (pig). Its description in RNAcentral is "lncRNA (ENSSSCG00055005316.1)". The record is from RNAcentral. Lineage: Eukaryota; Metazoa; Chordata; Mammalia; Artiodactyla; Suidae.
UUUUUUUUAGACGCAGUUUCCGCUUCUGCGUGCUUCAUGCUGCCUCAUUGUCCUGGUGUAGGUUUAGCAGAAUAAAUCUCAGCAGUUCAGAUUUAGAUUGCUAUUCACUUGCAACUUCAAUCACAAUUCCUCUCCCAUCAGCGCUGGCUGGGGAGGUGCUUGGCAGUGGGGAGGGGAGAGGGUAAGCCCAGCCAGCAAGGUAAUUUCUGCAGGCUGCCUUCUUAGGUAAGAAUGAUUGCUUUGCUCAGAACUUCAGACACCCUAACCCUGGGUCCAGUGGGUCACGUUUGACCUCUAGAAAUGACAUUGGAAACCCAGGGUGCAACAGAGACCCAGCAGAGGAAGAACUGACUCUAGGAUUGGAAGACAGUGUAGACUGGCCAGUAUUCUUUCUGUAAAGGAAAACGAACUCCUUAAGUGGUUUAUCUUCAUAAUGGUGCCUGAGGCUCCAGCUGAUAAGGGAAGUUGCAGCCCGUGUAAGAAUACCAGUUCCACUGGGCAACAGGAAAUGGGGGUCCUUUAUCCAUGAGGGCGGGGGAGGGGGUCUUGUCUAAAACUUGGCAUUUGAUCAGCCUUGUUUCUUCAGCUUUAGAGUGUAUCCCUCGGUUGUAAAAAAACUGUUUUCUAAAGUGAAGGGCUUCUUUAAGAAAACAAAUGAAUGAGUAUGAGCCCUACGUCUUUCUCUCCAAGUGUGUUAGACAAAGCCAUGCCUCCGGGAAUAGUCCAGCUGCUCUGAAUGUUAUGACAAAGGAAUACAAGUUCAGGGACAUGAACUCGAGAUGCCAGACGUUCUCAUGACCCCUGUGAGAAAGAUAGUAGGGCUCUGGUUUCCAGGCUCGGGUUUACUUUCCCCCAAAAGACAGAUCAUCAGUCAGGCCCAUUGAAUUCUCUGUAUCACCCGUUAGCUCCUGCAGGAGCAAAGGGUAUAAUACGUGACCCACUGGUGUUUCUGCAGCGGUGCUUUAAUUGGGUCUGUUAAUGGAGAACAUCAGGGAAGAAAGGGGACCUGGCUCCUCCCCCUGGCUAAUCAGAGGACAGCCGUCAUCCUUGUUUGAUUUUUUUUUUUUCGCCCCGUACUUGCCACUGAGAAAUAGUAGAUUUAGAAGCUUCUCUCCACGUGAAAUGUCUCCUCUCUCAUCAUAGAGAGCUUUGCAUCAGGAAGACAGUUAUGCUGCGGCUCAGAAGCCCAUAAUUUAGUCAAAGUCCACACAGUGGAGGGAUAAAUCCAAUGGCUUAAGAAUUUUUUUUUUUUUUGGUCUUUUUAGGGCUGCACCUGCAACAUAUGUAGGUUCGUGGGCUAGGGGUCACAUCGGAGCUACAUCUGCCAGCCUACACUACAACCACAGCAACUCGGGAUCCGAGCUGCAUCUGUGACCUACACCACAGCUCACGGCAACACUAGAUCCUUAACCCACGGAGCAAGGCCAGGGAUUGAACCCGCAACCUCAUGGUUCCUAGUCAGAUUUGUUUCUGCGGCGCCACAAUAGGAACUCCAGCUUAGAGAAUUUUUUAAAAAUACUAAACAGUGAUGAUGAUUGUUGUACAACUAUACAUGUAAUAAAAUUCAUUGAGUAAUUAAAAUUUUUUUUAAUUUAAAAAAGAAACAGUGAAAUAAAUUAAUAAGAGCUAAACUUAAAAAAAAAAAUGCUAACAAUGGGUCCCACCUCCAGGGAUUCUGAAAAAUAUUUGUCUAGAGGUAUGACCUAUGCGUUAGAAUAUUUUAAACCUCCCCGGGUAAUUCAAGUGUGCAGACAAAAUUGAGAACCACUGCUUAGGAAAGACAGAAACAGCAUCUUAGACAUGAGGCUGGAGCUAAAAAUGUCUGCUGUACUGGGGUAGGCAUUCUAGUCAUCCCCCCAGUACCAGGAAGAGAGAUGGAUGUGUGGGGGCAGAGGCAGCAGAGUUCAGCCAAGGCUGGGAACCAAACCGUCACACUAAUUGCCCAUGAGGAUCAUUGUGGGAGUAAGGGGUUGACUCUUAUGUGCUGGCUGGCAGUUGCUCUGUGUGUUUAAAUCCCAACUCUCCAAAUGGAGUGUAAACUCCCUUAGAGUGUCAGACGCCAGCCCCCGGAACGUGUCUCCCACCUUCCCCAUAAAAUGCUAUGCUCUGGAGUGCGGGGCCUGUAGUGAUCCUCUGAUAACCUGCCAGGCUGUAGAGCAAUGGCACGUGGUGACGGCGCGUGAAGAGGAUGGGAGGCUGGGGGGAGGCCUUCAGCUGGAGGCGUGGGUCAGCCCUGGAAAGGGUAAUGUUUUCAUGUUCAUUCAUUGCACAAGCCGUCCUGCUUUCAUAUCUGAAAGGGAUGUGCUCGUGUUGGACGUCCCCAAAGCCACCCUUUCCUGGCAGGUCUCUUGACCUCUUCCCGCAGGGUUAGCUGUCUGUGCUUUUCCUCUGGUGCAGGUACACAGGCGUCUGCUGCUGGUGAGAACGGCCCUGGCAGAAAAGCGUUAAGGAGAUUCACUGGGUCCUGAGGGUUGUGAUUUUGAGGUUGAUACUAAAUCCCUCAGAGUGAGGAGAGGGAGCAGACUUCACAAGUCAGCAGAAAAGCUGCCAAGAAUGUACUUGCCAAAUGGCUGUGUCCAUGAUACUCCAAACUUUGGUAAUUUUCCUGUGUGUCUGAUUGAAAAAUCAUAUUUGUGGUGUCAGGCAAGGCAAGAAUAAAGAAAUGAUACACUUAAUAUCUGUACGCACAUGGGCAGUAGAAACUUUCACAGCUUAAAGAGUUGUCCUGCCAAAGUUGAAAAUCACAAAGAGUAAACAGCUUUGCUCACAAUUUUGUUGGAAAUCCAGCAAGAGUCCUGGUAGCCAAGUUGCAGAAAGGGGAGAGACGCUAAAGACUGAAGUUUGUUGAGCAUUUCUUUGAUUUAUACAAGUUGUUUUGUAAAGGGUGGAUCAUUUAAUACUUGCCACACUCUAUGUUACCCAUGUAGAUAUUUUCAAAAUGCAAGUAGGAGACUGUAACCCAUUUUCUUUAAGUCCCUCAGUGGCUUUCCAGAACUAUUUGGAAUAGAGAACCCACACUUUGACAUGGCACAUGGGUCUUGCCUAGGCUGACUGCAUGCUACCUGUGGUCAGUCUGUUCUGACCAUGGCGGUUCUUGAGGGGCCCAUGCUCCUCCCACCUCAGGGCACUUGCACCCGUGCUUCUCUCCCCUGGAACCCUGCCUCCCACUCCUCACUCCAAAGCCUCCAAAUGCCCUUUAACCUCUUCCUUCAGAUUCCAAGGAAAGUCUCAAGGUCAGGGGCCAGGCAGCAGACUGAAACCAUAUCAGUCAUUUGAACCAAGGGGCUAUAAUAUAACACAUUAUCAAAUAAGUGCCAAAUUAAUAACUGGAUAACAGAAAGGAUGGACUAGAGAGCAGAAGAGAGCUUGGAAACUACAGCCCAGGGACAAAAUCUAGCUCAGGGUCGGUUUUGGGUGACCAAUGAGCGAAGAAUGGGAUUUACCUUUGUAAAAGGUUAUUUAAAAAGAAAAACCCAAAAACUAGCACGUGACCCACAAAGUUGGAAAUAUUUACUAUCUAGCCUUGACAGAAAAAGCUUGACCACCUCUGCUCUUUGGCAUCACAGAGGUAAGAACUGUAGCCACCACCUCCGGGACUCCAGGAACACACGUUGGAGUGAUUACAACUUGGUAGCUUAAAGAAGGGGUAGAGCCGAGGCCCCGCAACCCAUACCUCUGAGGAGGGGGCAUGAGUGGCGGGUGCUGCUGUCUCAGAGGCUGGGGGUGAUGAAGCUGCUUCUACGGGCGGCAGGAAAACCACACACUCUCCCGAGCUGCUCUCAUGGGAAGGAACUGCUGCUGCCCAGGUGAAGAAGCCAUGAGUUUGCCCUGGUCCCACCCAGGGUAUGUGAGGCCUCCAGAGGUCACUCCAGGGUAGACAGGAAGGAACAGCGUCUUCUCUCCCACCAGGCGUUCCGUCUCCCUCCAUCCUACCCUCUUGCUAGAGCCCACCAUAAAGGCAAUCUGCAAAGCAAAAAUGUGUUUCUCAGAGCACCCGCCCGCAAGUCACAGCACACACCAUUAGAGGAGUAGGUUUGGAGGAUGAUAAAGUAAUAACUAGCAGCAGAAACCUUCCCUGAACUCCUUGAUGCGCUCAGUGUCACCCAUCCGUCGUAUCUUUACGGUAGGUACUCUGUGUCUUUUCUCCGCAGCACUUACCGCGGUUAACGGUAAUAGCAGGCACUUACCUAGCACUGCUGUGGGGCGGCUGUUCUGAGAUGUAAUCAUGUCUCUCCAUUUAAUCCUCACCACCCCCUUGUAUAUUUUUCCCAUUGUAUACAUAAUUAAAAGGAGGCACAGAGAAGUUACAUAACUUACUCAAGGUUACACGCAGCUGAUAGGUAGAACCAGACUUUGAACUUGGACAGUUUUGUUCCAGGGUCUGGAUUCUUACCGCCAUGGUAUUGCCCCUCCGUGUCAGGUUUAUGUGUGUGAAUCUUGGUGGCUGUGUGUCUCCUGAAGUAGACUGACUUCAUGAGGGUAGACUUUGGGUUUCUUCCUGCUGAUCACAGCGUCCCCUGCACCUGCCACAAGGUCUGCCCGCAGGAGGGUCUCAGUAAAUAUUUCUCUGAAUGAAUGAAUAAAUGGACGAGAAACUGGAGUCAUUGGAAAGUUAAGCCACCUGUUAGCUGUCAGAGCUGAGACUCUACCCGGGUCUCUCUGACUCCAGAGCCCACACUCUUCCCAGUCAUGAGCUGGCAGACAAGUGCUUUCUAGCCAGUGACACGGAGUGACAGCCGAGGCACUGGAAAUUCGUCACUGCUCUCUGUGUUUUGAAUAAGUGGUUGUGUUCCUUGUGGUCUUCAGGGUAUCCAGAAUGUGUGAGAUAUACAUGCAUAAUUCACCAAUCCCUGCUCACGCCAUGUGAGAAAAAUCACUGUGCCAAGCACAGUCCCCAAGCCCAGGAGCUGGCUCCUCUAGCCAAGUUUUCUCAGACACAUAGCAAGUUAACUGACUAUAGGUGUGUCCUGUGAGGAGUUUGGCGAUGGGACAGGGCUUCUUGUACCUUUUAUUGCAUAUGCUGUUCAAGGGUUUGGAUUUUUUUUUUUAAACAAUGAGCAUGCUAAAAAUGUUUUAUUUACGGCACUGAGAAACAGUGAUUCUUUUAGGAAAUUUGAACAAAACUGAAUGAUGCUCAUAACUUGAAGACAACAUUCUUGCCCCCCUAGCAUGUCAUCUUCUAACUCUCUCUACCCCACAGAGCUCAAAUACUUGGAAGGCUCCACAGGCUGCCUAUUGUCCUUUCUCCAUACCUGUGCAACACCGUGCACUCAGGGUAAAGCCAGCAUCCCCACGGUGGAAUGUGAGGUGCUCUGGGAUACGCCUGCAGAGCAGCCCAUGUGCCCUUUCUCUAUUCCGCUGGCUGGUGCCAGCGUAGAAGCUUAAAGGAAUCACAGGGAAAAAACAGAGAAAGGCAGAUGGGCAGUAGGGUUCACAAACAUUCAUCCAUUCAAUUCACCUUUCAACCAACCAAGAAAAUAUAGUCACUCAAUGUAAUCAGCUGAGUUUUCUACAUGGGCUCUUUCACCCGAUGAAAUUCAGCCUUCAUUUCCUUCAUUGCUAUUCCCAUGGACAAUAGCAGCUCCAAAAACUCUAUGUUAGGUGUGGCUCAGGACUGAAGUCUGGUUGGAUGAGGCAUUGUGGGGGCACAGGGCGGUGGGGGAAAUACAGGGGUGAUCUCAAAACUAUGUGUGUAGUAACCAUAUUAUUUUUACUUCAUUUAUUGAGUUGGAAGGAUCUGUCUGAGAAU